GUACCCUUAGUUCAGUUGGUUAGAACGUCUGACUGUUAAUCAGAAAGUCGCAGGUUCGAGUCCUGCAGGGUGCG
This 74-nucleotide transfer RNA is filed under the name Bacteriophage sp. RNAcentral's name for it is "tRNA-Asn". It matches the Rfam family "tRNA". Rfam says of the family: Transfer RNA (tRNA) molecules are approximately 80 nucleotides in length. Their secondary structure includes four short double-helical elements and three loops (D, anti-codon, and T loops). Further hydrogen bonds mediate the characteristic L-shaped molecular structure. tRNAs have two regions of fundamental functional importance: the anti-codon, which is responsible for specific mRNA codon recognition, and the 3' end, to which the tRNAs corresponding amino acid is attached (by aminoacyl-tRNA synthetases). tRNAs cope with the degeneracy of the genetic code in two manners: having more than one tRNA (with a specific anti-codon) for a particular amino acid; and 'wobble' base-pairing, i.e. permitting non-standard base-pairing at the 3rd anti-codon position. The record is from RNAcentral.